UGUAGGCUAGAAUGAAUGAAUAUACGAGGUUAAAGCUGUCUCUAAUUUAUUAAAUAUAAAUUGUUUUUUGAGUGAAGAAACUCAAAUAUUAACAUAGGACAAAAAGACCCUAUUGAUCUUUACUUUAAUAUGGAAUUUAGGAAUAAAAUAACUGUAAUACAUUAUAAAGUUUGGUUGGGGCAACAAAGAAAUAAAUAAAUUUUUCUUUAAUAUAUAGAAUUAUUAUUCGUUUUAAAGAUCUACAAUAGUAAAUAGAAGAAAAAGUUACCAUAGGGAUAACAGGCUAAUUCUUUUGGAGAGUUCAUAUUGAUAAAAGAGUUUGGCACCUCGAUGUUGGCUUAGAAUAACCUGUAGGUGUAGCAGCUUACAAGGGUUAGUUUGUUCAACUAUUAAAAUUC
RNAcentral lists this ribosomal RNA (398 nucleotides) under Nereiphylla rubiginosa. Its description in RNAcentral is "partial 16S ribosomal RNA". The stretch from base 67 to 398 matches the Rfam family "Bacterial large subunit ribosomal RNA", at positions 2048 to 2596 of the family's 2925-position model. Lineage: Eukaryota; Metazoa; Annelida; Polychaeta; Phyllodocida; Phyllodocidae. The record is from RNAcentral.